RNAcentral lists this ribosomal RNA (494 nucleotides) under uncultured bacterium. Its description in RNAcentral is "partial 16S ribosomal RNA". It matches the Rfam family "Bacterial small subunit ribosomal RNA", at positions 28 to 507 of the family's 1533-position model. The record is from RNAcentral.
GGCGAACGCUGGCGGCGUGCUUAACACAUGCAAGUCGAACGGAAAGGCCUGCUUUCCCUUGUGGAUUGCGGGUACUCGAGUGGCGAACGGGUGAGUAACACGUGAGUGAUCUGCCCCCAACUUGGGUAUAAGCCUGGGAAACUGGGUCUAAUUCCCGAUAGGACUGCAGGGUGGUGCCUGUGGUGGAAAACGAUUUUCUAGUGGUUGGGGAUGAGCUCGCGGCCUAUCAGCUUGUUGGUGGGGUAAUGGCCUACCAAGGCGGCGACGGGUAGCCGGCCUGAGAGGGUGGACGGCCACAUUGGGACUGAGAUACGGCCCAGACUCCUACGGGAGGCAGCAGUGGGGAAUAUUGCACAAUGGGCGGAAGCCUGAUGCAGCGACGCCGCGUGGGGGAUGACGGCCUUCGGGUUGUAAACUCCUUUCGACCGCGAGGAAGCCACCUGGUUGGAAGGGUGGUGACGGUAGUGGUAGAAGAAGCACCGGCUAACUACGUG